CGCGCAUCAGCAAAGCUCGCGACCAGCUCUCCGCUGGUCGUUAUUCGGGCGCUGAAGGUGUGAGGGGUCCGGACUGAGUUGAAGACACCCAGCCCUAGGUACCAGCUGGGGAUGUUCUGUCACUUCAAGGAUACUGAAAGCCGGAAGAGUCACUUGAGGGAGUUUCCGCUAUCAUUGCCUCUGGAAGGUUUUGCGACCUGGCUCGCAGGAAACCCUAAAUAAAUAUCGUGAAUUCAUAAAAGCUGAAAUAGAGCAGGGAGACAGCCCAAAUAGAUUUAAGUUUUUAAAUGAAAAGUCAACUCCUUGCCAUGGCCUGUGACACCAGGUUCUACUGAUCCAGGCUCCUCUGUGACUCCAGCCUGGUCCUUGCCACCCAGUCCUCAUGCUUCAGAUAUACUCGAAAGACUAUGUCGAGUACAUAGCAGAUACCUGGGACCCAUUUUGCUGAUUUCAAAGUUCCUUUGGAAAGCAGACUCUGACUCCAGCUCCACCAAGAGUUCCCGUGACUACUUCAGACAUGAGUUCAGCAAUCUCUCGGGAUCUCCAGCUCCAUGUCUUCAAUCCUGUCUAUGAGACCUGUGUGACUUCUCCCUAUGUGAAGAGGAGCCCCAUCUGCCCUUCUGAUGUGGAACAACAUGCAAAGAGUCGUGAUUUAUACAAGGGAACAGAAAAGGAUGAAGGCACAGGAGCCUGCCUCCCAGGUCAGCACUUGCUGAGAUCUGAGUUCAGUUGUCUGUGAUCUCUCCAAAAGCAGAAAUAAACCACCUGAUUGUGGCUAUAGCUGUGACACCCC
Molecule: long non-coding RNA, 793 nt
Filed under: Cricetulus griseus (Chinese hamster)
Lineage: Eukaryota; Metazoa; Chordata; Mammalia; Rodentia; Cricetidae
Description: lncRNA (ENSCGRG00015033640.1)
Source: RNAcentral